RNAcentral lists this ribosomal RNA (500 nucleotides) under uncultured Glomeromycotina. RNAcentral describes it as "partial small subunit ribosomal RNA". It matches the Rfam family "Eukaryotic small subunit ribosomal RNA", at positions 591 to 1092 of the family's 1831-position model. The record is from RNAcentral. Lineage: Eukaryota; Fungi; Glomeromycota.
CCAAUAGCGUAUAUUAAAGUUGUUGCAGUUAAAAAGCUCGUAGUUGAAUUUCGGGACCAAUCAGCCGGUCGUGCCUCCGGUACGCACUGGUUUUAUUGGUUUCUCCCUUCUGACGAACCAUGAUGUCAUUAAUUUGGUGUCAUGGGGAAUCAGGACUGUUACUUUGAAAAAAUUAGAGUGUUUAUAGCAGGCUCACGCCUGAAUACAUUAGCAUGGAAUAAUGAAAUAGGACGUUUGACCCUAUUUUGUUGGUUUCUAGGAUCGACGUAAUGAUUAAUAGGGAUAGUUGGGGGCAUUAGUAUUCAAUUGUCAGAGGUGAAAUUCUUGGAUUUAUUGAAGACUAACUACUGCGAAAGCAUUUGCCAAGGAUGUUUUCAUUAAUCAAGAACGAAAGUUAGGGGAUCGAAGACGAUCAGAUACCGUCGUAGUCUUAACCAUAAACUAUGCCGACUAGGGAUCGGAUGAUGUUAAUUUUUUAAUGACUCAUUCGGCGCCUUACG